AUGACUGGGGUGAAGUCGUAACAAGGUAACCGUAGGGGAACCUGCGGUUGGAUCACCUCCUUAUCUUAAAGAAGC
This 75-nucleotide ribosomal RNA is filed under the name Escherichia coli. Its description in RNAcentral is "partial 16S ribosomal RNA". The stretch from base 1 to 63 matches the Rfam family "Bacterial small subunit ribosomal RNA", at positions 1471 to 1533 of the family's 1533-position model. The record is from RNAcentral. Lineage: Bacteria; Pseudomonadati; Pseudomonadota; Gammaproteobacteria; Enterobacterales; Enterobacteriaceae.